Punica granatum (pomegranate) is the source of this 968-nucleotide non-coding RNA. Lineage: Eukaryota; Viridiplantae; Streptophyta; Magnoliopsida; Myrtales; Lythraceae. The record is from RefSeq and is a predicted model, not a curated record.
UAUGUAAUAACAAAAGUGUCAUGUCACUUUUCCUCUCGGCAGCUCUCCCCCAACCCUACAAAAGACUUUGCUGAAAACCCUCAUUUUAACCCCUUUUACUCAGCUCGUUCGACCUUGGUCAGGCCUAUUGAGCACCACCACUUUCGCCAUCGGAAGCUAAGACCUUCAUCUUUCCUCUUGUGGCCUUAACUUUCACGAUGGUGCCUUCCCUCUACUCUUUUUCCGUCUCUUUUCUUUUUUCAGAUGGGUAAUGACUGUGCGGUGAUAUAAUUAUGCCCAACUCUAACGCGAUAAGGGCGUCACGAUCUCCUUCUUGAUUGCUCGAGUCCAACCUUCUCCCUACGGCGGUCUUCUCCACUGUGGUGGCUCAAAUCCAGUGGCUUAGGUAUUGGUUUCCUCACGAAGCAACGAGACCACACCAUGGCAGCUCAAACCGGUGGAAUAGGUAGAGUUGGCUCUCCGAACUGUGACAACGGUUCUCCUUUCCUUCUUUCCAUUCGGCGGCGUGGUGUUUCUCAAUGGCGGUGGCCUCCCGCUCCCUCCCGGAAUCGGUGCUCCCUCUACUCGGCGGUCCGUCUAGUUCUGACGGAGGAGCUUCUUAUCUUAGGUCUUCCCGCCAUCUUUUUCAACGACAAUAUCCUCGCCCAUCAUGUCAAGGAUUGCGAUUCUUAUCGUUUUGAUCUUCCUUCCCCUGUUCAAACCAAUUUUUUGUGGCUUGCAUUUUUGUUAUUAAUAUGAACAGGUUGGCUCCUCUAUUGACGGUCGCUAGUUCGAACCAAUCGAAAGAGCUCUAGUUGCUUAGCUGCUAGUUCCAUUGGUUUGAUUGUCUCGGGAUUGAGCUAUUAGGGUUAGGUUGAUUAAGACGAUCAUCGGUUUGAACCGAUCAAAGGAGUUUUAGGCUUUGUUUGGGAGUUGAGUUUUAACUCCACUGCAUUCCAACUAUAAAUAAUUAUAUUUAUUUGGAAUUA